RNAcentral lists this ribosomal RNA (463 nucleotides) under uncultured bacterium. RNAcentral's name for it is "partial 16S ribosomal RNA". It matches the Rfam family "Bacterial small subunit ribosomal RNA", at positions 28 to 507 of the family's 1533-position model. The record is from RNAcentral.
GACGAACGCUGGCGGCGUGCUUAACACAUGCAAGUCGAACGGAAAGGCCUUUUCGGAGGUACUCGAGUGGCGAACGGGUGCGUAACACGUGGGUGAUCUGCCCUGCACUCUGGGAUAAGCCUGGGAAACUGGGUCUAAUACCGGAUAGGACCGCACUUUAGUGUGUGUGGUGGAAAGUUUUUUCGGUGUAGGAUGAGCCCGCGGCCUAUCAGCUUGUUGGUGGGGUAAUGGCCUACCAAGGCGGCGACGGGUAGCCGGACUGAGAGGUUGGUCGGCCACAUUGGGACUGAGAUACGGCCCAGACUCCUACGGGAGGCAGCAGUGGGGAAUAUUGCACAAGGGGCGCAAGCCGGAUGCAGCGACGCCGCGUGGGGGAUGACGGCCUUCGGGUUGUAAACUCCGUUCGCCAGGGACGAAGCGUUUUGUGACGGUACCUGGAGAAGAAGCACCGGCUAACUACGUG